GUCCAGGUGACCAGGGGCUCCUUUUAUACCCAGGGUAAUAAAUUCGGGAAACUAUUGGCCCGAGCCCUAAAAACUAAACAUCAGAGGUCAUUUAUCGCCAAAAUUACCGACAAAACAGGGAAACAAUGCAAUACCACAGACGACAUAGCUACAGCAUAUAGUACCUUUUAUGAAGACCUCUACAAUCUAGACCCACCAAGUAAGCGACCUAACAACCUGAGGGAAUAUAUUACCUCAAACCUUCCACAUACUAUCCCCAACGACACAGCGCUCACACUCGAUGAGCCAUUCUCCCCAGCAGAACUAUCACUAGCUAUUAGGACUCUACCAAAAGGUAAGAGCCCAGUCCCGGACGGAAUGACUGCAAGAUACUACCAAACACUUGCACAGGAGUUAAUCCCUCACUUUCUUAAGUCACUAAACUGCCUGGCCCAGGACAACCCACUACCACCCCCGAUGUUGCGUGCAUCGAUCACUAUUAUUCCCAAGCCGGGCAAAGACCCCACAAAGUAUGGGAGCUACAGACCCAUCUCAUUGAUAAACUUGGAUCUAAAACUAAUGGCGAAAAUGAUCGCUAACCGACUUAAACCCUUAUUACCGGGACUAAUCCACCCUGAUCAGGCCGGCUUUGUGCCUGGACGCGAAGCCAGGGACAAUACCACAAAAAUCCUAAACAUCAUACAUGGGGCAACUGUAACGGACACACCGACACUGCUCAUGGCAAUAGACGCUGAAAAGGCAUUCGACAGGGUGGAUUGGUCCUAUCUCUUCACGGUCCUGGAGGUCCUGGGGACUGGUCCGAGACUAAGGAAUUGGAUACAAAACUUACACAGGGGACCGUCCGCCAAUGUCAGGGUCAACGGCCACUUAUCCACACCCUUUCAGAUAAAUAAUGGUACACGCCAAGGAUGCCCCAUUUCCCCCCUCCUAUUUGUCCUAGCUAUGGAACCCUUCCUUACGGCUAUCAGGAAUAACAACAACAUACGGGGGCUCCGGUACCGUGGGGGAGAGACGAAGGUAUCCGCAUUUGCGGACGACGUCCUCUUCACGAUCACUGAUCCAAUCAACACCCUCCCACAGAUCCAAACGGAGAUUGGAACUAGUGAUGUCGCAAACCGUUCGCGGCAAGUUCGCGGACGGUUCGCGACAUCACUAAUUGGAACCUUUGGGACAUGAUCUAAUUUUAAGAUAAAUGCGGACAAAUGCGAAAUCCUGGGGAUUUCUGUAUCCCCUUCCCUACAAACACGGAUACAAUGCACGCACACCUUCCCUUGGACUCGAACCGGACUAACCUACCUGGGAGUUAAGCUAACCACAUCGCCCAAGGGCCUAUACAAACUUAACUAUCCCCCCUUAUAAGCAGCAUUAAACAGGACCUCCACAAGUGGGAUCUUCCCCACUUCUCCCUAAUGGGUCGGAUCAACAUCUUGAAAAUGAUGGUCCUACCGAGAAUACUUAACCUGUUCCAGGCACUGCCAAUUCCCCUCCCUAGGGACUUUUUCAGACAAAUGCGAACCUUAUUUAUAACAUACACCUGGGGCAACAAACCGGCCAGAAUAGCCUACUCCACACUGACAUCCAACAUAGGCAGAGGAGACCUGGGUCUCCCCCACAUAUACAAAUAUUAUGUAGCAGUAUUAUUUACCCGCAUAAAGGAAUGGACAAACACAAGCGAGAAAAAAAUCAUGGUAUUAAUUGGAACAGAGCUUUGUACGGGCUCCUCUCCAUACAUUACCAUGGCAAACUUGUCAACUCAAGGAACUCUCCCCAAUGCAUCACCCACUCACACACAAUGUCCUCACAACAUGGAGACGAUACAAAGACAAAUGGGGACUAUCCCCGGGACUAUCUAAGUUUUUCCCCUUAGCAGGCAACCUAGACUUCCAGAGAGGACAGGGGAGCUCUACCCUAGUAAGGCUUACAGGAUCGCCGAACCCAGACAUCACUGAGGUUCUGACAGCCGGGGACCCACCCACAUUAAAAGCUCUCCCUAGACAGAACAGACAGGAUACACUCCUCGAUAUUAUGGGCAGAACACAACUUAAGAACUUUUUAAAUAGGUCGGUCAUCCCCUUUUGGCGUCCAAGAGAUACUACUCCCUUUGAAAACCUAUGUGGCCCAAAGAGCGACUCAAAACGACCCCUAUCAAAAAUAUAUCGCAUUAUUCAGACAACUGAAGUCGAGCAUACACCACCUACAUUCCAACAGAAAUGGAUGAGAGACUUCCAUAUACAUAUGACGGACAGGGACUGGACAGACAGACAUGGAAACAGGGAUUAGAACCCCUAUCAGUGUAGCCCGUAAAGAGACCUUUUACAAAAGAGUCACUAGAUGGUACAGAACGCCAGCUAUACUCCACACAUUCUGGCCCACCGUCAGCGACACAUGCUGGAGAUGCGCUGGGGGUCAGGGAGACAUGGAACACAUCUGGUAUAAUAAAAAGCAUAAAAGCAUACUGGCAGUACAUACUGGAUGACAUAGCGGAAAUUCUCGCACUGCAAACCCGUCUGACCCCAUCCCAGGUACUACUGGGCUGGCCUCGCUCCUUUAAGGAGCCACACAAACAGCAACUCCUACAGAUUCUGCUCGGGGAAGCCAAUGCUCUCGUGCCAACGCACUGGCGCCGACUCAGUGUGCUAUCCAGGGAGCAGUGGGUACGGCGGGUAGAAUGUGAGAGAGAAAUGGAAGAAAUACACUGGUCAGUACUAGGGAGACGGCACAAAUACCUUAAAACAUGGGAGCCCUGGAUUGAGUUUUGGAGGAGCCCCCCAGGGAUGGCCUCACCCACACCCCCCUAGCCAAAGGGCGAUCACCCCUACUUAGACCGGGACUGUCAAAAUAGGACCAUUGGAGUACCGACAAG
This is a non-coding RNA of Pelobates cultripes (western spadefoot toad), 2863 nucleotides long. NCBI's taxonomy places the organism in Eukaryota, Metazoa, Chordata, Amphibia, Anura, Pelobatidae. The record is from the annotation of a GenBank genome assembly.